CAUCUCAAAUGUCUAGUAGUAAAAAAGGGCCGUAGCAAGCAAGCUAGGAGAAGGUGGGGGGACUAGGUAGGUAAGGCCGGUACCUGAGGUUGCGGUUGCCGCCCGCGUCGUGCUACCAUCCCCUCUACCUCUCGUCGAACCUCGCCCAGUCCGCCGUCGAGAGGAGGUGGAGGUGGGCGGUAUAGGAGGUCCCGGGAGAGAACUUCGCUAGGCUAUGUGAUUCCUUUACCUUACUCGCCACCCAAUAUGAACUAGGUCGAUGACCUUUCUACCUUAUGUUCCAAGCAUCUUCACUAUGUUGACACUCCCCUUAUUAACACAAGCUAAGUUGUUCGUGGCAGUGAAACAGUGGAUGGUUGAAAGUACCUGACGGUUUUAUACUUCCUACAACACAUACAUAGGAAUACCUCAUCGAGAUCCAAUAAAACAAGCGAAAUAAUAGUAUAUACCCGAACUAGUUAACAAAACAAUUAACUGAUCACAAUAUCUAUAACCCUGAGGUGUCUUUUUCCUCAUGAAAGAAACACGUCUUUGAGGGUCGCGACGUUCUCGUACCCAUAGAUGAAAUGUACGUUGAGUCAACCAGGAUGUCCGAGUAUUUGUCCGCCACCUAAGUAACCCACCUUUACCAAGACGUUUUAACCCUUGUCAACGAUGACAACACCGACACCGGUUACGUUGACGCUAACUUCGUAGGUUUCUCCAUCUUCGUCGCUACUUCUAGAGGGACGCCCGUCGAAAUCCGAGUUGAUGUUUAUUUGAAUCAUUUCCAGUUAAUCUACUAGAGUGUUAGUACUACCUCUGGGAAGCUCAAUUUCUACUACUUGACGUGGUCGAUAACGUCCUAUAGGCACGUGCCCUAAGGUGGUAGUCCCUCUAAUGUCUAUUUAAUGUCCUCUGACGACUCCGUCGACUUAGACGACGAAGACGACGAGUACGUUAACUACUUCGUUCUUCUAAAAAUAGAAGUCUUGAACUUGCGGACUUUGUUCUAGUCCUUUUAGUUCAACUUAACAGGAACGAAUCCAAACUUGACCGAAAAUACAAUUGUCGAUUCCCUUAGUCUUCUCUUCAGUUUCGAAGAACGACUUCUUUCUCUCGUAAAUGAGUUCCUUUCUCUAAGACGAGAAGUUCUUCGAGUCUACACCGCGAGACUUGAACCUUUUCGAUCUCCUUUACGACAGUAAAAUCUUCGUCGACAGCACUCUCGACUUCUCUUUCGAUCCCAAAGUCGUCGGCUACGACUGUACGCUUAUUUCCUUCGACACUCAUUCGAGCUCAGACGACGCUUUCUUUUUCUUCUUGAGAAUCGAGAGGACCUACGAGAUUUUAGUGUUUAUGUUUCCGUUCUCUGAUCGUGUUUUGUUUAGACACUCCUUUCCAGUCUCGAUACGAGAUGAAGUUUCGUGUACCUGUACCUGCUUCUAUUGCACCUAUUCCGAACAAAUUCGCUAUGUCUGGACUAUGGGUAACGCCUCUUGUAUCAGCUCAACCUACUGCUCCCUCAGCUAUAUGCAUGCUAGCCCCUAUGCCUCACCCUUUUAGGAGUAAGGAGACUUCAUAGACUACAUUCCCUCCACUGGUGUCUUCGACUUCUUUUGUCGAACCUAUAAGGACAACUAUCGGUCGGUCAACGACUGCUAUGAAAGGUUCCGAUCUGACCUGAAAAGUAGAGCCAAGUACCGCUUGUAAGAAUAUUAGAAUAAGGCAAAAGCGUAACUGGGUCUCAAGGCAGUGUCGAAAACAACGAGUAGACAUUUGGACUCACUUUGUUUUUCUUCUCAACCUAGUAGUUCACAUGGUAACCGAUAGUACAACUUGUCAAAUGUGGAUGACAACAUUCCAAUCAGAAAAAAAAAACUUCGAGACGUGAGGCCUUAAAUAAGUUAGUCGCCACAUCUUCUGGUGAGUCUUUC
Molecule: ribosomal RNA, 1916 nt
Filed under: Triticum aestivum (bread wheat)
Lineage: Eukaryota; Viridiplantae; Streptophyta; Magnoliopsida; Poales; Poaceae
Description: partial small subunit ribosomal RNA
Source: RNAcentral